RNAcentral lists this long non-coding RNA (3124 nucleotides) under Nicotiana tabacum (common tobacco). RNAcentral describes it as "long non-coding RNA (NTAB_LNC014097)". The record is from RNAcentral. Lineage: Eukaryota; Viridiplantae; Streptophyta; Magnoliopsida; Solanales; Solanaceae.
ACGUCUUCUUCUUCGCACCCCAUCACCCCCUGAAACCAACGACCCCAAUCUCCAAAUCUCCAUAGCUGCAGACCUAACCCCAUCGGACCUCCAUCUCGUCGACACCCCUAAACACCCAGCAGCAGCCAUAAACGGACCCCUCCCAGUCCUUCAUCUUCUUCAACAUCAGAAAACCAAGGAACCCAUCUUCUUCGCGAUAAACCUGAAGUAGCUAAACAGAGCUCGACCAGCCGACAACAUUCACUCCAAACGGAAAACAAGUCGAGAACAGUAAAGAAAACAAAAUAAGUAAAAGCUGAAAACAGUACGGGUCUAAAAGCUCAUUUCGAGUUCUUUUCCGGCGAGAUCUUCGGUCCGUCGAGGUUGCUGGUCUGAGGUCCAUUCGUGGGUGACCUUGUUUUAAACGUGAAUGAUUUGAAGCUAUACGAUCUGUUUAAUCAGGUUGGUCGCAACUCAUUUGAAUUCUCAAAGCAUUGAAUUUGCAUUUUUCAUAAGUUCUGUUAUGUCGCUUCUAAUCCGUUUGAAUUUUCAUUUUUAUAAGUGCUAUUAUGUCGUCUCUGUGCACAACCAUCUUUACAUAUAUGGGUAAAACUUUUAUAAGUACAAUCGCCAAAUGAUUCUUUGCUUGAGUUUUCCGUAUUUAAAUCAUGUUGGCGAGUCGUUACUCGUAUUUGAAGUUGGGAUAUUACAGUGGAUGGAUGUUUUGGUUUUGGUUUGCACUCAAAGGAAAUUGACUGAUUUCAAAUAGCUAUUUUGUGACUUUAUAUUUAGAUAGUCGAUUAGUUUUUUUAUCAAAAUUAGCCUCCCGGGUGCAAAAUUUGAAAGGUAUCGCUACAUUUUGUUGAUCUUCUGAAGGAGAAGUCUUAUUCUAUUGCUAAAUCGUAUAUGGUAGUAUUGAGUAUUGGUGAUAAUUGUGAAGAUAUGUUAAGAGAUAGCGCAUUAGUAUUUGUGAAAUUUGAUUGUGCUCGAUUGUUAUAGUUGAAUACAAAUCCCUGCUUUAAAGAAAUCGAGGCGCGCCGUGCCGAGCAAAAUCCCAAAAUGCAUGGCCCUCGCUUAGUUAAUAUUUUAAUCCUUAGAAUUCGAGGCGUGCCAUUUAGCGAAUAAUCUAUGGCCCUCGCAUUAAUAUUAACUUAGUAUAAAAUAACCUUAAACACUCGUAGUUUGCUUUAGGCUUAACUUAGACUACUAUUGUGACUGUGUAUACGUUCGCGUAACAUAGUUGCGAAUUUAAUUCUAAAAGUAACUCGAGGUAUGCGUUAGCGCAACUUCAGCCAAAUCCUCCUAAUAAUUAACAAAGCGUCAUUAAUCGUGGACAUGUUCGCGUGACAUGAUUUUUAACGCGCCAAAGGAAAAGAGUAUACGUACGCGUAAUUCAAUUCUUUAAUUACGAAUAAUCAAGUGAUUGAAAAACGGUUAAUAGACAAAUGCAUAUAGGAUCUAAAAUCAGUAAUUAAAUAAUUUUAAUAAGCCAAGUAUGAUCAAAGCGACCGUGCUAGAACCACGGAACUUGGGAGUGCCUAACACCUUCUCCCGGGUUAACAGAAUUCCUUACUCGGAUUUUUGGUUCGCGGACUAUUAAACAGAGUCAAUCUUUCCUCGAUUCGGGAUUCUAAACUGGUGACUUGGGACACCAUAAAUCUCCUAAGUGGCGACUCUGAAUCUUUAAAUGAAAUAAUCCUGUUUCGAUUGUCCUUUAAUUGGAAAAACUCCCUUGUAUUUAUACCCUUCCAGGGGUGUAGGUAAAAAGGAGGUGUGACAGCUCUGGCAACUCUACUGGGGAUCGAACCCAGAAUCUCUGGUUUAGGGUUCAGAAUUCGAGCUUAUUAAUAUGAUUUUGCUUGACUUUAUUUAUUGUUGAUAUUACUAUAUUCUGUGAACCUUUUUGUGCUAAGUACUAUCUGUUUAUCGCUUUAAUAUUGUCUGGAUUGUAUAUAAUUGUCUUCUUACGCCACCCAUCUGAGUCUUCUGAAAAUGGUGCAUACGUUCGCGUAGCCCACUUUUUCUGUAGAAAUUAUACCAAAUAGAACGAGGCUGGGCAAGCGACAAGGUCGGAUACACUUUAGUGCUCCCGGUACGUCACCCCCUCCUUGUCCCCAGUUGUCCGCUCGGUUACCCCAAGUCUAGACCAAAACUGCAGGGUUUAAACCUAGAAAAACAUAGCCUCAUGCCGGAUCCCUAGUAGGAACGUUUGUUUGCAUCAUGUUCAUUUUGACUUUGGAGACUCAACACAGGGGUUGGGUCUGUCUAGGACAGGUGCACCUGAAAUGAAAAGACCAUCUUGAUGCAUCCUAUGUGCUACAUGUUGCAUUUAUUCAAAGGGUAAAAGGGUCAUUUGACGGACCAAUGAUAGUUGAGGGCAAGUGAAAAAAUGAAAAAAAAAAUGAAAAAAGGGAAAAAGAGAGGGUGAAGUGUGAGGAUAAAGCGAGCGGGGCCUAAUUAGGUUUUCUGUUACAUUUUUGUUUAAAAAAAAAAGAAAAGAUCUUGAAAAUUGAAAAGAUUUUGCACUUUUUAUCAUUUUUCAAAAAUAAAAAAAAAAUCAAAAAAAAAAAGAGAAAAGAAAAUCCAAAAAGAUUUUAUAUGUUUCAUCAUUAUUCGAAAAAAAGAAGGAAAAAAUGUGUUUUCUUUAUGUGAGUUGUUUUUAUUAUUCUCGCCCGUAUCCAAUCUGCCCGAACUACGCAUACCUGAUUCUCGUUUUUCGGGGCGUGAUACGUAGGCAACCCACAUAGGGUCUAGUCUUCCUAGUAAAUCUUAUGUUCUUGGCUUUGCGGGGUCUUAGCCAAAUUUUGCACUUCUAGCCACCUUUUAGCCAAAUAAGCCAUCUUACAAAAAUAGCCUUAAUCAUGUCUUGCAUGUGUCUUAGGGAAUGUUAUUGUCUCACAUAGUGUUGGUUUAGGCUUUCUUAUACAGGUGUGGAUUUAUUUACCGAAGUUUGAGCAUGACAGACACCGUGUGACCAUCCGGUCAGGAUUGCAUUCUGGAGUUGCUUAAGGAGAAUUAUAUAUUUAAUUAUUUUUAUUUUAUUUUAAUGUUUUUUUAUCUCGUCUUUUACUUUCUAGUUUUGUACAGUAAUGUCAAGUAUUUUGUUAUUGUAUUUUCUGCUUUAUGUGUGAAAAUGUGUUGUAAC